UAAGAAUCGGCGGCAGCGACAGCGAAAAGGGCGGCGAGGAUCAAGAACUAAUAAAAUAUGGAACAUUUGACGCCAUGUAAAAGGCUUAUGUAAGAAUCUCAGAAAUGAACUUCGGAACGUGGGGCCAACUAUUAACCGCUUCGUCUUCGUCACCGAAGAUAUAGGUCUACAACUCUCCAUGACGUCCAUGCCCAUCUCCACAUCCAACUCUUUCAUGUCGUCCAUGUGUUGCUUUCAUUGCCCGUUUUACUCACUACCUGGUGCAAAACAAAAUAAUGGGUCCUCAGGUCACCUCAGCGCAUGCACUUUCAUAGGCACUUUCAUGCCGAAUCGAUGACCACGAAGCGCUUCACGCUCAAAGCCAGCACAUUUUUCUGAAUUGUGUAUCCAUAUUCUGAAUGCAGUAUUGGUCCAUUGUCGUCGUGUUUCCGUGAACUAAGUAAUCGAUUUUUUUAACUUUUUGGGUAUCUAUGUAGUUAUCGAUU
Daphnia pulicaria is the source of this 485-nucleotide long non-coding RNA. RefSeq lists it as uncharacterized. NCBI's taxonomy places the organism in Eukaryota, Metazoa, Arthropoda, Branchiopoda, Diplostraca, Daphniidae. The record is from RefSeq and is a predicted model, not a curated record. The transcript is spliced from 3 exons.